This 468-nucleotide ribosomal RNA is filed under the name uncultured bacterium. Its description in RNAcentral is "partial 16S ribosomal RNA". It matches the Rfam family "Bacterial small subunit ribosomal RNA", at positions 28 to 507 of the family's 1533-position model. The record is from RNAcentral.
GACGAACGCUGGCGGCGUGCUUAACACAUGCAAGUCGAACGGAAAGGCCCUGCUUUUGUGGGGUGCUCGAGUGGCGCACGGGUGAGUAACACGUGAGUAACCUGCCCUUGACUUUGGGAUAACUUCAGGAAACUGGGGCUAAUACCGGAUAGGAGCUCCUGCUGCAUGGUGGGGGUUGGAAAGUUUCGGCGGUUGGGGAUGGACUCGCGGCUUAUCAGCUUGUUGGUGGGGUAGUGGCUUACCAAGGCUUUGACGGGUAGCCGGCCUGAGAGGGUGACCGGCCAGAUUGGGACGGAGAUACGGCCCAGACUCCUACGGGAGGCAGGAGGGGGGAAGAUGGCACAAGGGGCGGAAGCCUGACGCAGCAACGCCGCGUGCGGGAUGACGGCCGGCGGGUUGUAAACCGCUUUCGCCUGGGACGAAGCGGGAGUGACGGUAAUGGGUAAAGAAGCACCGGCUAACUACGUG